AGAGUUUGAUCCUGGCUCAGGAUGAACGCUGGCGGUAUGCUUAACACAUGCAAGUCGAACGGAAUGCUUCGGCAUUUAGUGGCGGACGGGUGAGUAACGCGUGAGAAUCUGGCUUUAGGUUCGGGACAACAGUGGGAAACUGCUGCUAAUACCGAAUGUGCCGUAAGGUGAAAGAUUAAUUGCCUGAAGAAGAGCUCGCGUCUGAUUAGCUAGUUGGUGAGGUAAAGGCUCACCAAGGCGACGAUCAGUAACUGGUCUGAGAGGAUGACCAGCCACACUGGGACUGAGACACGGCCCAGACUCCUACGGGAGGCAGCAGUGGGGAAUAUUGGACAAUGGGCGCAAGCCUGAUCCAGCCAUGCCGCGUGAGUGAUGAAGGCCCUAGGGUUGUAAACCUCUUUUCUUGGGGAAGAAAAAAAUGACGGUACCCAAGGAAUCAGCAUCGGCUAACUCCGUGCCAGCAGCCGCGGUAAUACGGAGGAUGCAAGCGUUAUCCGGAAUUAUUGGGCGUAAAGCGUCCGCAGGUGGCACUUCAAGUCUGCUGUCAAAGGUCGGGGCUUAACCCCGGGAAGGCAGUGGAAACUGAAGCGCUAGAGUGUCGUAGGGGUAGAGGGAAUUCCCGGUGUAGCGGUGAAAUGCGUAGAGAUCGGGAAGAACAUCGGUGGCGAAAGCGCUCUACUGGACGACAACUGACACUCAGGGACGAAAGCUAGGGGAGCGAAUGGGAUUAGAUACCCCCGUAGUCC
This 746-nucleotide ribosomal RNA is filed under the name uncultured cyanobacterium. RNAcentral describes it as "bacterial SSU rRNA". It matches the Rfam family "Bacterial small subunit ribosomal RNA", at positions 8 to 796 of the family's 1533-position model. The record is from RNAcentral. Lineage: Bacteria; Bacillati; Cyanobacteriota.